CCCUUAGAUGUUCUGGGCUGCACGCGCGCUACACUGAAGGACUCAACGUGCUUGUCUCCUUGGCCGUCAGGUCUGGGUAACCCGUUGAACCUCCUUCGUGCUAGGGAUUGGGGCUUGUAAUUAUUCCCCAUGAACGAGGAAUUCCCAGUAAGCGCGAGUCAUCAUCUCGCGUUGAUUACGUCCCUGCCCUUUGUACACACCGCCCGUCGCUACUACCGAUUGAGUGAUCCGGUGAAUAAUUCGGACUGCAGCACUGCUUGGUCUCCAGGCUUUGCAGCGGAAAGUUUAGUGAACCUUAUCACUUAGAGGAAGGAGAAGUCGUAACA
This 326-nucleotide ribosomal RNA is filed under the name uncultured eukaryote. RNAcentral's name for it is "partial 18S ribosomal RNA". It matches the Rfam family "Eukaryotic small subunit ribosomal RNA", at positions 1470 to 1796 of the family's 1831-position model. The record is from RNAcentral.